Long non-coding RNA from Cercocebus atys (sooty mangabey), 2281 nucleotides. RefSeq lists it as uncharacterized. The transcript is spliced from 2 exons. Lineage: Eukaryota; Metazoa; Chordata; Mammalia; Primates; Cercopithecidae. The record is from RefSeq and is a predicted model, not a curated record.
UUCUAGCAGAGACAGGGUUUCAGCAUGUUGGCCAGGCUGGUCUCAAACUCCUGACUUCAGGUGAUCUGCCCACCUUGGCUUCCCAAAAUGCUGAGAUUACAGCUAUGAGUCACUGUGCCCGGCUGAUAAUUUCAUAGAUUAUCAGCUACCCUGCACAUAUUCACGUAUUGCUGGUCAGCUGACAAGAAAGAGUCUUAUCUUACUGGCCAAGAAUUUAGUCGGCAUCUUUGAUCCCAUCAGCAGUUUUGCACUUGAUAUUUGAGUACUUUCAAAAUGCUAGGAGGCUUUGAUAUUUUCUUUCAUCUCAAAAUGAAAAUGAAACAUGGUCCAAAAAGUUUACACUAAGACCAAAUGGCCAGUGCAAUUUGGACAGAGUUAACACUGUCCUUUUGGAUUUUCAGAAAGAGAGCAAGUAACCUUUAUGGAGACUGAAACCACAGCCGUUUCCAUGGAAGGUUGGGGCCGGAAGCCCUAUUUUCAAUUUGCUCACACGGAGGCUCUUCAUGGGCAGGCCAGACUGCUGUGGAAGAAACACACGGCAGGGAUGUAUCUGAACACUCCCGGCCUGUGAAACAGACCAAGAAGUCCCCUUGGAGAAAGAGGGGCCUCUGUGAGCCCUGAGAGAUGCUGGAGCCCGAGGAAGACGUGGGAGGAGGCACUAAGCAGUGUCCCAGGAAGUCACAUAAAGAAAACAGCAUUGGCUGUGCUGCUCCAAAUCUGUGUCUGGGAGUUUGGGCCAGGGCGAGAGGGUUGCAGGCUCUGAGCGAGGUUUAGGAAGCAGGAAAGAGGAGUGGACCUGCUGGAAGCCAGAGGACAAGGUUGGCGGGGUACAAGGAAAGGGGUCCACCAAGGGCAGCCUGGGAGGACCCGCCUUGAUCAUGAAAAAAAUGAGCAAAGGGGCACAAAUGUCUUUUCAAAAAAGAUGCCUAAGGUUGGCCUCAGCAAAGUCCCCUGAAGCAUCCCCUGCUUGCUUUCCCUGAAGAGCUGGACUCUGCGUGUGGGGUGGGGCAUCCAGACUGUGGCCUUCCUUUUGAGCUUUCCCCACCUGAGUCAUCUGCAGAGGGCAAGGCUGUAGGUGGGAGGGACCAGUGUGACGUGUGACCGCCAGCCACGGUCCCCACACCCCUCUCUGAGGGCUGUCCCCUCCACCCCAUGCCAUGACAGGAAACUUUAUGACCUGUUCACCAAAAAGUCACUUCAGGAUGGGAAAGCACCUGUCUAUAAAAAAAGGCAAGGGGGCUGCCAUUUUAAAAUUGGGGGUGAGACUGGCUGUGUGCUCUCGAGUGGGCAGGGACCCACAGUAACUCAGAGGCAGGGCAGGUCAGGAGCUGUACGUGAGCAGAGGCCCGGGAGCUUGGAGGCCGGCCAGUGCUGGUGGGCCGCCCUGAGGACAGGGUAUUUGAGACACAGAACAACAGACAUAAGCAAGGUUAUGAUAAAGCUGCAAACUGUUUUCCUGUUUUCAUGGGGGCAUAAAGUGAAAGCAGCACUGAAUUAAACUCUCGAAGUGGGAGGAGAGAUCACUGUUGAGGCGGGAGAGGGGAUUUGGAAACGUCUGCAUUAGGACUCAGCUGUGUUUGCAGCCAAGGCGAGGUGGUUCUCCAAGUGAAUGCCCCUUUCUCACGGCCCCGCCUCUGUUCGACCCACCCUGCCUCUUCCCCCACACCCAAACCAGCCUCCUUCUGCUGCCAGAUCAUCCUCGGAGCCAGAGAUCGCCUCUGGUUUGGACAGUAAACAUUUGUUGUGCACUUUCUACUACAGAGCCAAGUAUCAGGUUAGGUUCCGGGAAGAUGAGAAAGGACUAAACAGUGUUCCAGCCUCCGAGGACAUCAUGUGACUCCACUGAUAAUAAAUGAUGGUCCUGGAAAAAGUUCCAACUCCUCUUCUGUAUGGCUCCAGCCCAAUGGCUCUGUCCCUUGCCCCUUCUCUGUCUGGGCUGGUCCCUCCGGUAACUGUCUUACGGGUCUUCUCUCUCCGCACGGUCGCUCAUGCAGGCCCUUCCGCAUGCUGCAGCCUUGAUGAUUCUCAGCUCAGCAGCCCUUUGCUUGAGCUUUUGGGUUUAACCUCCAUCCUCUUCCUGUUGUCUGUGUCUCUGCGUCAUCAGACAUCUAAAUUUAAGUCUACUAUCUGUGUGAUCUUAGACAAGUGUCUAGUGGAAUAUUAGGCAGGUUUCUAAAUCUCUUUGUCCUCGAUUCCCCAUCUGUGAAAAGAAGGUAAUGGCUUCUGCUUUGCCCACGGCUUACAGUUGUUCUAAAAAUCAAAUCGCAUGAUAAAUAAAUUU